This 254-nucleotide ribosomal RNA is filed under the name uncultured bacterium. RNAcentral describes it as "partial 16S ribosomal RNA". It matches the Rfam family "Bacterial small subunit ribosomal RNA", at positions 524 to 776 of the family's 1533-position model. The record is from RNAcentral.
UACGUAGGGUCCGAGCGUUGCCCGGAAUUAUUGGGCGUAAAGGGCUCGUAGGCGGUGUGUCACGUCGGCCGUGAAAACCUGCAGCUUAACUGUGGGCGUGCGGUCGAUACGGGCAUCACUGGAGUUCGGCAGGGGAGACUGGAAUUCCUGGUGUAGCGGUGAAAUGCGCAGAUAUCAGGAGGAACACCGGUGGCGAAGGCGGGUCUCUGGGCCGAUACUGACGCUGAGGAGCGAAAGCGUGGGGAGCAAACAGG